UUUAUUGGAGAGUUUGAUCCUGGCUCAGGAUGAACGCUGGCGGCGUGCCUAAUACAUGCAAGUCGAGCGAAUGGAUUGAGAGCUUGCUCUCAAGAAGUUAGCGGCGGACGGGUGAGUAACACGUGGGUAACCUGCCCAUAAGACUGGGAUAACUCCGGGAAACCGGGGCUAAUACCGGAUAACAUUUUGAACUGCAUGGUUCGAAAUUGAAAGGCGGCUUCGGCUGUCACUUAUGGAUGGACCCGCGUCGCAUUAGCUAGUUGGUGAGGUAACGGCUCACCAAGGCAACGAUGCGUAGCCGACCUGAGAG
This 310-nucleotide ribosomal RNA is filed under the name Bacillus sp. LB(2018). RNAcentral describes it as "bacterial SSU rRNA". It matches the Rfam family "Bacterial small subunit ribosomal RNA", at positions 1 to 298 of the family's 1533-position model. The record is from RNAcentral. RNAcentral also lists the same sequence under 1 other name. Lineage: Bacteria; Bacillati; Bacillota; Bacilli; Caryophanales; Bacillaceae.